UGGAGAACAAAGCGUCCUAGGAAGAUAAAAUGAUGUGAAUGUGUCCAGUUCUCCUUAUUGUUGAGGACAGAUCUAUCAGACCAUCAGAGGCUGAUGCCUUGAAACAUACGAGUUAUCCAGUCCACUAUCGUCAUUCUGAUUCCAUGCUCGUGAGCUACCUUCUGAUAAUCGAACUUCCCAGGAUGUUUUUCUACAGGGAGAGAAUGUUCUGGUGUGCUGGAAAGAUUAUUGUUGGCAACAACAUCCAUUCAUUCUGCCAACGUUGGUGAGCACCUGCAUUGGACCAGACCCCAGGUGGCAUUUACCAUUGAAUUUAGGACCCAUUUGGAUAAUCCAGGAUGAUCUCAUCUCAUCUCAAGAUCCUUAACUUCACUUUAUCUACAGUGACCCUAAUUUCAAAAAUUAUGCCUGGUGCCUAAACUCCCUGAGCCAUGUGGGCUUGGCUGUCUGAACAAGCCUCUUCUGUCAUAAGCUGGCUGAAACCACAGAUGCAGAGCCCACAGAUAGAGCUGAACGUACUUAUUGAACAUUUGUAUUUAUGUGUCUAUCAAUUAUCUUCUCGUAUCAUUUUCUGUAUAUUAUAUUGAAUGCUAUAGUUUUGUUCAUACCUACAAAAAUUACAUUUUAAAAUCGUUUUACCCUAAAACUCAACUGUGAGCAAUUUAUCCCAUAAAAAUGUGUUUUAAAGAAUAUAAAAACAUACCUACAAGUAAUUCACCAGGGCAUAAUUUAAAAUAAUUCACAAAAAAUGUUGUAGGGAGGGGGAAGCCCUAAAUUUUCUUUGAAACAGAAAUGAUUCCAUUAUCGCACAUUCAUUAAGCAAAAAUCUAAAUGACUAUUAAAAACUUGUUCCAUAUGUGAUGGUAUGAAACAAUAUCAAGAUUUUCUGAAGAAAACCCAAGGAAAUUUUAAAAGCAAUUGCUCAAAAGAAUUGAAAUAGGAAAUCCAGAUGGGAGAGGUAUCUGGAUGGAGUAUUUUUACUUUAUGCCAUUCUGUACUUUUUAUAAUGAGAACAUGUUAUUUUAUAACAAAUAAAGAAACCUUUUUAUAUCAAGAUAAAACAUAUUCUUCAAAAAAUUUUUAGACCUAGAAAUUCAGACUGGCAAAAGAAGGAAACUAACACAAUACAUACAACUAGAAAAAUGAUUAGCAAUUCCAUUGUUGAAUACCCUUUUGUUAUUUACCUAUGUAUAUCAAUGGAUUUUUAUGCUGCAUUGUUUUGCAAUCUAUGUUUUUCACUUAACAAUAUAAUUUUCCAAUAUUAAUAGUCUCUACAGCAUUCUUUUUGAUAUCUAUAAACCUGCCCCUUGUACUGUAACAUAUUUUGCUAAUCGUUUUCUUCUGGCAUUUUUUUUCAUGUUUUCACUAUAAUAAAUAAUGCUUCAAUAAAAUUUAUAUUGCUAUAUCUUUGUAUACUUUCCUAAUGCUUAUACUAACACUUUCAUAUAUAUUAUUUUUCACUAACAGCAUCAUCAAAACUUCAUGUACAAUACCACCAAUUGUGCUGCUGGUAUUUUAUGCACAAAAUUGAGGUCAACAGAAUGAAUUUUGAUGCUCUGUUCACUACAGGAACAAAAAUUGUGAGGAAAAGAAUGAUCAGUGCAAACUUGCUAGGACUGUCACCCAGAUUCUCCCAAAAGAGACUUUUCAAAUCAGGCAAGCAAUGUUAUUUUUAAACAAAAGUUCAAAAACAUGUUUAAGAUAAUAUAUUGGUUGUGACCAAAUUUAUAACUUAUCAAAAUUCUGUUUUUGUGAGCUUCACAUAUGUUUUCUAGAACAGGUCAAACUAUUAAAGAAUACCAUUAUUUAACCAUUUUGGACCAGUAAAAAUGAAAAUUUCUUAUACAGUCUAAUGUUCUAUAUUUUUUUUCUAAGAAUAAAAGCCACCUAUUAAAUAUUUAUGGUGAUAGCUUGUUGUUCCAGAUUUUAUUAAAUGUUUUGGGUCAUGGGUAUGAUUUAUGGCUUACUGGAACCUAGAUAAGAAAUAUGAUUUCCAUCUUUAAUAUUAUAUAUGGGAAAAUGUUUUACAGCAUUGAUUUCUAGGAACACGUUCAGCAUAACUGUCACUUCCAGAAGUUACAAAAAGAAAAUUAUAAAUAUUGGGCUAUUUUCCUAAUUUUGUGAAACUGUACAAAAUUUAAGAAUUAUUGGACAAAAGAUAUUUAGAAUCCUUUGGGAAAGGAAUGUUAAGAUCAGUAUACAUUUAGUGAUAUGAAUACUAUAUUUUAUCUAUGAGUUUCCUUUUUACCGCAUAGGAACAAAUAGAUAAAAUACUGAAAUAUUUAUCUUAAUUGGGCAUUCUUUGUUUCUUUCACCAGAAUUCUGAGAUAAGAAAACAAGCUUUUCCCUUUGGGACCCACUUAGUCAUUUUGAUAGAAAAGCAUAUUUAACUGCUGUCUUUGGAAUAUUCUUUAGUAUAUUUUUGAUUUAAAAAAAUCUAUCCUUUACUUGCACAUUACAGUUAUGGAGAUAAAGAGAUAGCUCCUUAAGUACUAACGCGAAGAGGGGAAUAAAAGGAAUGGAGGCAACGUCACUUGGGUUCCCAAAGCAUCAUCACCCUACAGAGACAGAGUUCUUGACUUUGCCAUUAGCGACAGUUGGGGCUGUUAAAGUCAAAUAAAAAUAUAGAAACAAAUCACUAUGCAAAGUGUUUCAUUUGGGAAUGCAUAUAAAAACAGAAUCACUAUUUAGGGCAUACAUACAGAAUGGCAUGGUCUUUGGCAUGUUUGAAGAACAAAGAAAAGGUUGGAAGUUCUAUUAGAAAGGGACAUGUUACACAUUUGAAAGGAAGCUCAGUGGCACUAGUGAAGUUUUGGGGACCUGACACUCUUUAAUUAGUGAAUGACAAUGGUAGGUAAAACUGGUCUUAACGUCACAGCACACAUCUAGUCCGUAUCAGCAGCCACUAGGUAAAACUGAUCUUAAGGUUACAGCAGGCCAUUUCAGCAGCCAAGCUGGUGGAUCAUUCUUGGACCAAGUGCUAUGUGCGCCAGACUGCUCUCUCCCCUGACCUUUCAACUCUGAUUUCGUUGGGUAUGACAAGAAUAGCCCAGUUUGUAUAAUCAAAUUUCACAUUUCCCCAUUUUGAUCAAGAUCUUUCUCUCAAAAUGUCACUGAUUAACUAUUCUGAGGUUAGGCGUAAUUGUCCCUCACUGCAGGGUCUGAACCUGUCCGAGUUUCCUCUGUCCUACUUUUGGGGGUUAGGUAUGAGAGUCCAUGUCAGGGACCUGGGCCACAUUUAGCAAAAGAGAGGCCAAAAGGAAAAUCUUUCUCAUUGCAGCUUUGCCUGGAGUUCAACAUUGAGUUUCACUGUAUUAGACCCAUAGGUAUUAGCAAUCAUCUCAAGACACUGGGCUAACAUUAUCUUGUUGGGAGUGCUGGCUUUACAA
Homo sapiens (human) is the source of this 3389-nucleotide long non-coding RNA. NCBI's taxonomy places the organism in Eukaryota, Metazoa, Chordata, Mammalia, Primates, Hominidae. The record is from Ensembl.